UAAAAAAUAAUGCUGAAUUCUCUUAAGAAGCGGGGGAACCAAUUUCUGGGGUGAAUCCUAUUUAGGAGGGGCUACCCUUUAGUCCUAAUCCGGCAGCUAACCUCGUAAGCGUAGAAAGGGGCAGUA
This 126-nucleotide small RNA is filed under the name Proteiniborus sp. DW1. RNAcentral's name for it is "c-di-AMP riboswitch aptamer (ydaO/yuaA leader)". It matches the Rfam family "c-di-AMP riboswitch aptamer (ydaO/yuaA leader)". From Rfam's summary of the family: This family represents a conserved RNA structure found upstream of the ydaO and yuaA genes in Bacillus subtilis and related genes in other bacteria. Lineage: Bacteria; Bacillati; Bacillota; Clostridia; Eubacteriales. RNAcentral also lists the same sequence under 1 other name. The record is from Rfam by way of RNAcentral.